RNAcentral lists this ribosomal RNA (1053 nucleotides) under uncultured Planctomycetota bacterium. RNAcentral's name for it is "bacterial SSU rRNA". It matches the Rfam family "Bacterial small subunit ribosomal RNA", at positions 365 to 1398 of the family's 1533-position model. Lineage: Bacteria; Pseudomonadati; Planctomycetota. The record is from RNAcentral.
UUCGCAAUGCCCGAAAGGGUGACGAAGCGACGCCGCGUGUGGGAAGAAGGCCCUAGGGUUGUAAACCGCUGUCAGGAGUUAAGAAAUAUAGAGGUGUUAAUAGCGCUUCUAUUUGACGAAAGCUCCAGAGGAAGCCACGGCUAACUCUGUGCCAGCAGCCGCGGUAAUACAGAGGUGGCAAGCGUUGUUCGGAAUUAUUGGGCGUAAAGGGCACGUAGGCGGCCCUGCAAGUCAGUUGUGAAAGCCUUCCGCUUAACGGGAGAACGGCAGCUGAUACUACGGGGCUAGAGUACGGGAGGGGAGAGUGGAACUUCUGGUGGAGCGGUGAAAUGCGUAGAUAUCAGAAGGAACGCCGGCGGCGAAAGCGAUUCUCUGGCCUAUAACUGACACUCAGUGUGCGAAAGCUAGGGGAGCAAACGGGAUUAGAUACCCCGGUAGUCCUAGCCGUAAACGAUGGGCACUAAGUAGAGGGAAUUACCGAUGUUCUCUCUGCCGUAGCUAACGCAUUAAGUGCCCCGCCUGGGGAGUACGGCCGCAAGGCUAAAACUCAAAAGAAUUGACGGGGGCUCGCACAAGCGGUGGAGCACGUGGCUUAAUUCGAUGCAGCGCGAAAAACCUUACCGGGGCUUGACAUGAUAGAAGUAGGAACCCGAAAGGGCAACGAACGGUAUCCAGUCCGUAGCUAUCACAGGUGUUGCAUGGCUGUCGUCAGCUCGUGUCGUGAGACGCUGGGUUAAGUCCCCUAACGAGCGAAACCCUUGUUUUUAGUUACCAGCGGGUUGUGCCGGGUACUCUAGAAAGACUGCCGUCGUCAAGACGGAGGAAGGUGGGGAUGACGUCAAGUCAUCAUGGCCCUUAUGUCCCGGGCUGCACACGUGCUACAAUGGUCGAUACAAAGGGAUGCUAAAUCGUGAGAUGGAGCGAAACCCAUAAAGUCGAUCCCAGUUCAGAUUGGAGGCUGAAACUCGCCUCCAUGAAGUAGGAAUCGCUAGUAAUCGCGGAUCAGCCUCGCCGCGGUGAAUAUGUUCCCGAGCCUUGUACACACCGCCCGUG